AGAACCUGUGGCUGUUGCAUAUUAGACUGAUUGCUCCUGCAUGGACAGUCCAUAUCUGAAAUGCGGGCAAGCUCCUUGGCUGGGGUUGCUGUGUUUCUGUAAAGACUGACCUGACCCGGGUCUAGCACUUAUAAUAUAAGACUUUAAGUUGGAAUUUCUGCAAGAAAAGGCAGAAUUAACGUAAACAGGCCGAGGUCAAGGAUAACAGAGAGCAAGAAUAAUCAGGCAAGCCAAGUAUACACUCUUGGAUAAACAGAAACCAUGACAGGACAAGCAAACAAGGGCAAUCAGGAAGUGUACAUAGGGCCAUGAUGUCACAAGUGUGUACACAUCAUCAAAAAGCACCACAUAGACUGGCAUUAUAAAAGGAGACCAAAGGGAGAGUUCCACUCCAUAUAUGAUGUCAUAAUGAGGCACACAGAAGAGACAUCGCUUCCGUGAUCGCAUGACGCCACGAGGGAUAAGUAUUGACAUUCUCUCAUGCAAUGGGAUGCUGGCAUUUCAGGUCUGAAGUGGGCCUAGGUUCAUGGAUGCCGCCUCCUUCACUCUCUGACAUAACUGCUUCCUACUUCUUUCCAUUAAGUUCUACAGCCUUAGAGGGAGAAGGAGUGAGAAAAAGGGUGUUAGUGGACUACACAGGCUUUGCCGCAAAUAAAACUGAACUCCACUCUGCCGAGGUAAAAUAAAUCCAUCCCAACUCAAGUUGUAGGUAGUUUUAAAGAAAGCAGAUAGUAAAGCUAA
This is a long non-coding RNA of Pelobates fuscus (common spadefoot toad), 741 nucleotides long. RefSeq lists it as uncharacterized. The record is from RefSeq and is a predicted model, not a curated record. The transcript has 2 exons. NCBI's taxonomy places the organism in Eukaryota, Metazoa, Chordata, Amphibia, Anura, Pelobatidae.